AACCAAGAAAUUUAGUCAUUCUUUUACGGUAAAAAGACAGUUAAGCAAAAAGUAGAUUAGCCAUUAGAUCCUUAGUAUAGGAGUAAAAUCUAGAUACUAAAAGUUAUAUCGAAAAUGGUUUGUUUAUGGUGUUGAAUCUGUGAUAGCUUUAAGGGAAACUGGGAUUGGAUACCCCAUUAUUUUUAGCUGUAAAUUUAGUUUAAGCUUACCGGAGUACUACGAAUAAAAAGUUUAAAACUCAAAGGGCUUGGCGGUGUUUUAGACCUCUCAGGGGAACCUGUCUCAUAAUCGAUAAUCCACGUUAGACCUAACCUUUUGUAGCAUGUCAGCUUGUAUACCGUCGUCGUCAGGUAACUUCUUAAAAUACAGUAGUUAGCUCGAUAAUUUAGUUAAUUAACACGUCAGAUCAAGGUGCAGCUAAUAAAGAGGCGAGGAUGGGUUACAAUUACAUAUUUGUAAAUACGAAAAAACACUUGAAAUAAAAUGUUUCAAAGGAGGACUUGAAAGUAAUUUUAGUUAUAUAAAUAGAAUGAAUCUGGCUCUGAAGCGUGC
Molecule: ribosomal RNA, 552 nt
Filed under: Conus araneosus
Lineage: Eukaryota; Metazoa; Mollusca; Gastropoda; Neogastropoda; Conidae
Description: partial small subunit ribosomal RNA
Source: RNAcentral